AUCUUCCACAAUGGACGGACGUCUGAUGGAGCAACGCCGCGUGAGCGAAGAAGGUUUUCGGAUCGUAAAGCUCUGCUGUAAGUUAAGAACACGUACGGGAGUCUCUGCCCGUAUUUUGCCGGUACCUUAUCAGAAAGCCACGGCUAACUACAUGCCAGCAGCCGCGGUAAUACGUAGGUGGCAAGCGUUGUCCGGAAUUAUUGGGCGUAAAGCGCGCGCAGGCGGUCCUUUAAGUCUGAUGUGAAAGCCCACGGCUCAACCGUGGAGGGUCAUUGGAAACUGGAGGACUUGAGUACAGAAGAGGAAAGCGGAAUUCCACGUGUAGCGGUGAAAUGCGUAGAGAUGUGGAGGAACACCAGUGGCGAAGGCGGCUUUCUGGUCUGUAACUGACGCUGAGGCGCGAAAGCGUGGGGAGCAAAC
This 420-nucleotide ribosomal RNA is filed under the name uncultured bacterium. RNAcentral's name for it is "partial 16S ribosomal RNA". It matches the Rfam family "Bacterial small subunit ribosomal RNA", at positions 361 to 773 of the family's 1533-position model. The record is from RNAcentral.